UACGAAGGGGGCUAGCGUUGUUCGGAAUCACUGGGCGUAAAGCGCACGUAGGCGGAUCUUUAAGUCAGAGGUGAAAUCCCAAGGCUCAACCUUGGAACUGCCUUUGAUACUGGGGAUCUUGAGUCCGGGAGAGGUGAGUGGAACUGCGAGUGUAGAGGUGAAAUUCGUAGAUAUUCGCAAGAACACCAGUGGCGAAGGCGGCUCACUGGCCCGGUACCGACGCUGAGGUGCGAAAGCGUGGGGAGCAAACAGG
Molecule: ribosomal RNA, 253 nt
Filed under: uncultured bacterium
Lineage: Bacteria
Description: partial 16S ribosomal RNA
Rfam family: Bacterial small subunit ribosomal RNA
Source: RNAcentral